Xiphophorus couchianus (Monterrey platyfish) is the source of this 2275-nucleotide RNA transcript. It is a transcript of the gene named MAF1 homolog, negative regulator of RNA polymerase III b, with no coding region annotated. Lineage: Eukaryota; Metazoa; Chordata; Actinopteri; Cyprinodontiformes; Poeciliidae. The record is from RefSeq and is a predicted model, not a curated record. The transcript is spliced from 8 exons.
CACGUACAGUAGAUCCUGUUGUUUUGGUGAGAACAGAGCGGUUGUUGAAGGUUAUCGAUACACAGCAGAAACAGCAUUCAGUUGUGAUUUUUUUUAUUAAUAGGCUCAGUAGCUUUUUUGCUGCUUUUCUGAUCGAGUCGCUGAGAAAAGAGCGACUUGAUCCCCCCGACACUGAUCGUUUUGUAAAAUCAGGUCGAAAGGGAUGCCGCUGCAGAUAGACUCCGACGGACCCCAACUGUCUCUGGAUUUAAUCUCGUCGCAUUUAAUCGGGAAGAGCAGCUUCUCUAUAAACUUAAAGAGCCUCAGAACAUCUCCCGCUCGACCGAGUGUUUCUGUAAGAUACCAAAGCUCAAGUUCACGGUAUUAGUUUCGCGUUGAGGCGAAGACCGAAGAAUAAAUAUUCAAGCUAGCAGCUAGCGUUAGCUGGUAGAAAAAACAAAGCGCGGAUCGUUAAUCCUCGUGAACCGCUCUGACAAAAGAGGUCAGUUUCUAACGGCGCAGUCGACUGCUACGAGGUUAAAGCUUUUUAUCUCUGCCUGUGUGGAAGAUAAUUUGUUGGUUGCCAUGAAGCUGUUGGAAAACUCCAGCUUUGAAGCCCUCAGCUCCCGGCUGUGUGUGGAAACAGGGGAGUCCCGUAUCCUCGGCAGGAUUGAGAGCUACUCCUGCAAGAUGGCAGGAGAUGAUAAACACAUGUUUAAGCAGUUCUGCCAGGAGGGGGAGCCACAUGUCCUGGAAGCCCUUUCUCCCCCUCAGUCCACCAGCGCCACCAGCCCCUCUCAGCUGGGGAAGAGCAGCGAGGACGGUGAAAACCCUCUGAGCGACAAGGUCUGCAGGAAGACUCUGUUCUACCUCAUCACCACGCUCAACGAGUCCUUCAGGCCGGACUACGACUUCAGCGCCGCCCGGGCCCACGAGUUCAGUCGAGAGCCCAGCCUCAACUGGGUGGUGAACGCAGUGAACAGCAGCUUGUUCUCAUCGGUGGGAGAAGAGUUCAACUCUGUAGGACCCGAGCUGUGGAAUGCCAUCGACCAAGAGAUCAACCUGCAGAGCUGUGACAUCUACAGCUACAACCCAGACCUUGAUUCUGAUCCUUUUGGUGAAGAGGGGAGCCUCUGGUCCUUCAACUACUUCUUUUACAACAAAAAACUGAAGAGGAUUGUGUUCUUCACGUGUCGCUCCGUCAGGUCUGUGCCAUGUUCUUAGUGGCUACGGCAGAGGUUGCCUCGACAACGAGCUGGACAUGGAGUUGGAGGACGAAGAAGAGAUGGACGGCUUCACCGAGGAAGGGUUCCCCAGAGCUCUCUGUGUGUAGAUCCUAGAUCUGCAACGUCCAAAGAUCACCCGUACCCGUACUCCUGUUGUUCUUUGUCCUUUUUUGUUUAAAAUCCAUGGGAGUCUUGCUGCCUCAUCCAAAGGCGUUUUGUUGUUUGGGACUGAAGUAUGUUUGGUCGCUUUCAGUCCAACGGCGAACUCUGCGGCCACAAAGUGGUGGACGUUUUAGUGAAGGCGCCCCACCGCAACAAGAAGUUCCUUUUAUCACCCACAAUGUAUAAUUUUUGACCGGUGGGCUCUUCUCUACAUGUUUUGUUUUUCCCAAAGACUUUGUCAAGGGCGCUUGAGCAGAAGUGGAUUUAUGGCAGAGAAAGAUACAAAAGACUGCCAGAGAGUUUGGUUUGUUCCUAAUAGAUAGGGAAGUCCAGAUUACACCAGCACCAGUGACAACAAACAUUUAAGUCCAUCUCUGGACUGAGCUGAGUUGAUUGGAAGGCAGAGAGGCCUGAAUGGACAGCUGACUUUGUGUCUUCAAUGUCUUUUUAUGUAUGAAAGUGAUGUUACUGUGAAAUGUUUGACAUCCUAAAAACCCUUUUUAUUACUGAAAUGUUAUCUUAUGGUAGGUAUUUACUGCAAGUUCUCAUCUGUACCUGUUCUGACACUGAGGGGUUUGCAUCUAGGCUGCAGCUUGGACAACAUAUCGGCUUUUAUUAGACGUUCACUGAUAUACACUUGUAAUAUUUUGGAUUGAGUUUAUUUUAACGCUCCAUUCCUCAGUGUGUGUUCCUGCUGUUGUUUUCAUUUGUUCAUUGCCUCAUUGCAGUGCUUCUUUAACAAGUGAAUGUGUAGUAAAUUUUUAGAGUACAGGUUAGACAUUUCAAAAACUGCACGGCUACUUUUACAUUCAUUAAAAGACGGGAUGCGUUCGGUGUCCUUUUAAGACUACUGUGCCUUGUUUUGAUUGGCCAGUGGUACAGAUCCUAAUAAAUCGGUGUUUAUAUCC